AAAAUAUCUUUAGUCGCCAAAGGUUGUAAUAUUUGUUUUAGAGGGAAACAAAUUAUUUUUGGCGCCCGAUCUAUUUACACUCUGUUCUGUCUCUCACACACACAGACACACGCUAUACACUUCUGUGUCAAACACUAGCAAACCUCACCCUCACCAUCCCUGCUAACAGUUACCAUCGAACUUCCACUACCGACCAUCGCGGCUCUCGCUACCGCCGCUGACCAUUGCGGCUCUCGCCACCGUCGCUCACCAUCGCGGCCCCCCUCCCAGCCACAUUCAGUGGACAUGUUAAAAUCCAUGACUUCUCCAGGGUUCUGAGAUUGAAGGCUUGCAACCUUUCUAAAAAGUGGAUUGGAAUUGGGCCCUCACAAAACGAUGGUGGGAACUGCUAUUAGUGGUAAGGCUUUAAGGUGUGGAUUAUGGGAUAGAUAUAUUAUCCACGUUCUUAAUGAGGAAAAGAUAUUGGUGUUGUUUGUAUGGUUGUGGGUGUGCAUUUAUGGCUUUGAUUUUGACUCAAAUGGUUGCUAUCUUUGAUUGGUUUACAUACUCCCCAUAGUGAAAAUUUUUCCAUUGAAAAGCCUUUUGCUAGUUAAUUAGUUUAUUUGAUUGGUUAAUUAUCUUUUUUUCUCCCUAGUUUGACAAGAAUUUACUUAAUUAGCUUGUCAUAUGAAUUGAAUUUGCAUGUAUUUUAACUAGGAUAUGAAAAUGUAUUGGCGGGUAAUUG
Camellia sinensis is the source of this 724-nucleotide non-coding RNA. NCBI's taxonomy places the organism in Eukaryota, Viridiplantae, Streptophyta, Magnoliopsida, Ericales, Theaceae. The record is from RefSeq and is a predicted model, not a curated record.